UAGAGUUUGAUCCUGGCUCAGAUUGAACGCUGGCGGCAUGCCUAACACAUGCAAGUCGCGCGCGAAAGGGGCAACCCGAGUAGAGCGGCGGACGGGUGCGUAAUACAUAGGAAUCUACCUCGUUGUGGGGGACAACCCGGCGAAAGCCGGGCUAAUACCGCAUACGACCUAAGGGUGAAAGCCGGGGACCGCAAGGCCUGGCGCAAUGAGAUGAGCCUGUGUCGGAUUAGCUAGUUGGUGAGGUAAAGGCUCACCAAGGCAACGAUCCGUAGCUGGUCUGAGAGGACGACCAGCCACAUUGGGACUGAGACACGGCCCAAACUCCUACGGGAGGCAGCAGUGGGGAAUAUUGGACAAUGGGGGCAACCCUGAUCCAGCAAUGCCGCGUGUGUGAAGAAGGCCUUCGGGUUGUAAAGCACUUUCGGGAGGG
Molecule: ribosomal RNA, 430 nt
Filed under: uncultured Gammaproteobacteria bacterium
Lineage: Bacteria; Pseudomonadati; Pseudomonadota; Gammaproteobacteria
Description: bacterial SSU rRNA
Rfam family: Bacterial small subunit ribosomal RNA
Source: RNAcentral